UACAUAAAAUCAGUCUUAGAGGGGAAACACUGGUUGGGCUGUUGAAUGAAUGAAUGAAUGAAUAAAAAAUUAAAAAUAAUAAAUAAAUAAAGCGCUGGUUGCUCUUCCAAAGGAACUGAGCUCAAUUCUCAGCACCCACAUGGCAGCUCAACAUUUUAACUCCAGUUCUAGGGGAUCCAACACUCUCACACAGACAUACAUGCAGAUAAAACACCAGUACACAGAAAAUAUAAAAUAAAAACCAACAAAAAUGUAUAUAAACUAAUUAUAAGGACAAACUUGGGGACUCAAACUUCUUGGAACAUGUAAGACUCUCUUGGUAAGCAGGCUACAUAACCAGUAGGAAGGAACUGCCUCAGAGAAAGGCAAGAAUAGUAUGUGUUACAGAGGUCACCAGACCCCUUUGUCCAUUCUUCCGUUAUUCCCAGGGUGGCCACCUUGGUGAAAUCUCCUUUUUCUGUUUUUUUCCAUUCAUUUUUAAAUUUGUGUUUUAGGAGAGGCAGCUGAGCCUUGCUUAUUGGUGCCACCAGAGAAAUGACACUUUUGGGGAACCAGCCACUCAUAGGAAAAGGGAUCGGAGGGAUGGAGUGGCCACAGGUGAAGUUAAAAUGAAGCCAUUAGGGAAGAUCUUAAUCCCAGAACUUGGAUAAACACAAAGGAUGAAGACACAGAAAACAGACAACUACAUACAAGACAAGGAGAAAGUUCUGGAAUGGAUCAUUGCUCUCAAGCCCCAGAAAGGCUCUCAAGCCCCAGAAGGGGCUCUACCAUGCACAGACUCUCGGCUUUCCAGCAUCUAUUACCACAAAAAUGGGGAACUUCUGCCAUUUACUGCACUUUGUUACAACAGACCUGGCGGAAGUCCAAACAAGUCCAAGGCUGACUCUGCACCCUCCCCUGCCUGCCAGCUGACCUGCCUUGUUCAAGCCUGAGAGCCUCUGGAGAGUCUCGGCUCUGUUGGGGGUUCUUUCUCACAAGCACAUCAGUAAGCAGUGGGAGGGCUGGAUCUGUGUGAUCUGACAUGUGCCUGUCCCAGACUUCCUCACAGCUCCUUCUUAGACAGCUUUCCCUGUGAAAACAGCUAGCAACCCUCAUCAGUGUCAGGCAAGAACCCCAGGACUCAUUGGGAUCAGCCUUGUCUGGCUGGAUUCUUGAACAUAUGGAGCUGGCCUAUUCUCCUGUAGCCUCUAGAGCUUCAAACCUCAGGCUCUCUUUCCUGCAGCCCUCCUACUGGCUCCUCAGUGACCCUUGGGGUUCCCAGGUAAGAGGCAAAUUGUUUAGGCAAGCCUGACAUCACUUGAAGGAAACCAAUUCAAAACAUACCAUGUGCAACUCAACUUACAGUAAGGCUCUGAAUCUCUAAGAAUUUCAUAAACAAGUAAUAUUUUAAAAAAUGGUUAUUGAUGAAGGAGAAAAGAACCUGAAGAAAUCAGAUGCUGUGAGGGAGGUUUAGUCAAGGCUUUUUCAGGUACAGUGUGUUCUAGAGUUUGACUAUUGAGCUGUAGAAAUAAAUUACCUAUUAAAAUGUGCUCUCUAUUGAAGAGGG
Molecule: non-coding RNA, 1546 nt
Organism: Rattus norvegicus (Norway rat)
Lineage: Eukaryota; Metazoa; Chordata; Mammalia; Rodentia; Muridae
Source: RefSeq, a predicted model, not a curated record